CUAAUCAGUUUAUACCCCACGCAAACACCGUAAUUCCACAUUCCGGUCCCUUUCAAACCAGAAAUCAAAAUUAUUCCAGCCGCGGACUAAUUCCCCACACCUUCCCCGCGUGGAUACGACAGUCGAGCGCCAAGCCAACACUCUCCUCAAAGCGGCGACGUCCCAAUCCCGCACCGCAAUGCUACUGGGAGCGCGAAAAAUCCGAUGGCGUCUCCGCCGUCAACAUCUCAGCCUCUCCUACACUCCAAGUAUCAAGCUGAACUUCCACUCCUUGUCCCAACCCAAGGUCGAAUCCGACGACUUCUUGCCGUGGCUGGAGCGGAAGGCCGGCGCCGAGAUUUCGUCGGCACUUUCAAUUGGGAAAUCGGCGUACGGAACUUCUCUUUUUGCUUCAAAGAGCAUAACAGCUGGAGAUUGCGUUUUGAAGGUUCCGUACAGAGUGCAACUAGCUCCGGAUGAUCUCGUUCCGGAACUGAAAGAUUUGUUGAGUGAUGGAGUUGGCGAUGCUGCAAAGCUUGCCACUGUCGUUUUGUUUGAGCAGAGAAUGGGCAAUGAUUCCAGGUGGGCCCCUUACAUUCGCUGGCUUCCUCGCCCGGAGGAGAUGCAUUGCACGAUAUUUUGGAGUGACGAUGAGCUGGAGCUGAUUCGCCAAAGCUCUGUAUAUCAGGAAACAAUUAAUCAAAGAUCUCAAAUCAAAAAGGAAUUUUUGGCAAUUAGGACGGCUUUCAAGAACUUCCCUGAAAUGUCCAAAAGUAUCACCUAUAAGGAUUUCAUGCACGCAUAUGCUUUAGUGGAUUUCGCAGUUACUUCUCGAGCAUGGGGAAGCAUGAAGGGUUAUUCCCUGAUCCCAUUUGCUGAUUUUUUGAAUCAUGACGGCACUUCAGAAUCAUUAGUGUUGAGUGACAACGACAAACAUUUCUCAGAGGUCAUUGCUGACCGCAAUUAUGCUCCUGAUGAACAGGUACUGAUAAGAUACGGAAAAUUUUCAAAUGCUACCCUGCUUCUUGACUUUGGGUUUACACUUUCAUCCAACAUCCACGACCAGGUCGAGAUCCAGGUCAAUAUACCUCACCAUGACGUCCUUCGUGAAAUGAAGUGGGAACUUUUGAAGAGACAUCACAGACCAAUCAGUAAUGAUGUCAAUGGUUUCGACUCUUCAAUGGAUUCUUUCACUAUCAAGGAAGUUAGGUCUGGUAGUGGAAAAGGGAAAGGAAUUCCUCAGUCACUUCGUGCUUUUGCUCGUGUUCUAUGUUGCGCCUCUCCUCAAGAACUUAGUGACCUGGCCAAGGAAGCUGCAGAACAUGAUGGUCGAUUGGCUCGACGUCCUUUAAUAAACAGCAGCAGAGAGAUUGAAGCACAUCAGAUGUUGUUAUCAAAAUUAACCCAAUUAGCUGACGUUGUGAUGCAUCUAUCAAGUCUUUGGGACCUAUAAGUUCUCCAGUUACUUGUGAAAGACUUUCUAUCCGGAGGCAAAUGGCUCAGGAUCUCCUCAAUGGUGAACUUCGUAUCCUCAAAUCUGCUUCUGCAUGGCUAAGAAACUACUGCGACACUUUGACUACAACAGACUGCUAUAGAUGAUGAUAUUAGUUUUGCAAUACCACCAAAGACUUGAGAGAGGUAAUAUCAUCGGAGAUUAUUUACGUGAUCAGACACAGUUACAAGUUAUGGAUUCAUAACAACUGAACGUGAGAAACCGGGAUUCUGGAAAACUAGGAGCCCACAAGAUUAGGCUAAUAUGAAGGAAAACCCACCAAACUGGCUCUUACGCAUUUGGAGCGGGAAUGUGGGAUAUGAGGGUACAACUAAAAUAGAAGACACAUUUUUGCUGGGUGAAUUUGGAUUUCUGUGUAAUGCUUUCUCAAGUGAAUGAGGUUAUAGUAGUAAAUUUUUAUAAUAUAGUCCACAUUUUUAAUAAAUCCGCCUGUGUAAGUUUAUCUUACACUGCCGGUCCCAAGGCCGGAAAAAGGAGGAGGGGGAGUGUGUCAGUCAUUAGCGAUCACCCAUGAGGAGAGAAAGGAGUUUGGAGAGAAGAUCAACGAGUCCUCAUGACAGCCGAAGUCCUAAGCGUUGUAGGGCUUCACCUCCAGUAUCCAAUGGGAGGAGGCACGUUCAAUCCCCCGAAGGGACGAGACCACAAGAGCAGGGUAGCCUCUCCCCGCAUUGUAUAGUGAUUCAAUGAACUAGAUCUCAAUUCAGAUUGUGAUGUAAGGACUUUAAUUUCUUCAGUGCAUAUUAAAAUCCAAGUAGAUGUAAUAAUUUGUAAUAGGAUGUAAAGAAAAUUUACUAAAAAUAGUUUUGAUAAUAAAAUUAAAAUUAACUUACAGAAACCUUGACUGAAAGGUUUUAUUAGAUAGUAGCUUGAAAUGAAAUUGAAUUCACAGUAGUGAUAAUAAUAUUCAAUUCUCUAGAUGCAUGUGCUUUUCUUUGUGAUAUAUAUUUAACCAUUUGAAAAUUCUUAUUGUUGUGAUUGUGUUGAGCUUGUUGUGUAUUUGCUUAGCUUAAUUAUAAAUUAAGGGUGGUCAAAAUUUUAUUCAUGCAUGUUUUUUUUUCCUUUCUUCCUAGCUAUCAAUUUGUUGUCUAGGGUUUCAGUUUUAUUCAUCUUAGCAUCGUUCACUGUAUUUAAUUUUUUUUCAUUUUUUAAAUAAACUA
Malus domestica (apple) is the source of this 2649-nucleotide RNA transcript. It is a transcript of the gene named fructose-bisphosphate aldolase-lysine N-methyltransferase, chloroplastic-like, with no coding region annotated. The record is from RefSeq and is a predicted model, not a curated record. Lineage: Eukaryota; Viridiplantae; Streptophyta; Magnoliopsida; Rosales; Rosaceae.